GAUGAAGAACGCAGCGAAAUGCGAUAAGUAAUGUGAAUUGCAGAAUUCAGUGAAUCAUCGAAUCUUUGAACGCACAUUGCGCCCCUUGGUAUUCCGAGGGGCAUGCCUGUUCGAGCGUCAUUAUAACCCCUCAAGCUCAGCUUGGUGUUGGGGCCUGCUGCACUGGCAGCCCUUAAAAUCAGUGGCGGCGCGAUCUGGCUCUAAGCGUAGUAAUUCUUCUCGCUAUGGAGUCCUGGUGGAUGCUUGCCAUCAACCCCCAAUUUUUCUAUGGUUGACCUCGGAUCAGGUAGGGAUACCCGCUGAACUUAAGCAUAUCAAUAAGCGGAGGA
This 329-nucleotide unclassified non-coding RNA is filed under the name soil metagenome. Its description in RNAcentral is "partial contains 5.8S ribosomal RNA, internal transcribed spacer 2, and large subunit ribosomal RNA". The stretch from base 1 to 120 matches the Rfam family "5.8S ribosomal RNA", at positions 35 to 154 of the family's 154-position model. The record is from RNAcentral.